Molecule: transfer RNA, 33 nt
Filed under: Otiorhynchus smreczynskii
Lineage: Eukaryota; Metazoa; Arthropoda; Insecta; Coleoptera; Curculionidae
Also listed under: 1 other name
Description: partial tRNA-Leu
Source: RNAcentral
ACCCCAAAUAUAAAGUUUAAACUUUUAUUAGAA